RNAcentral lists this small nuclear RNA (103 nucleotides) under Phascolarctos cinereus (koala). Lineage: Eukaryota; Metazoa; Chordata; Mammalia; Diprotodontia; Phascolarctidae. The record is from RNAcentral.
GUGCUCACUUUGGCACGACAUAUGCUAAAAUUGGAAUGUACAGAGAUUAGUAUGGCCCCUGCAUAAGGAUGACAUGCAAAUUCAUGAAGCAUUCCAUAUUUAU